CCAAAACAGGAAAAAGUUACUGAAAACUACCCAGAAAUUAGAUUUUAUCUCUUUAUCUCUCCUGGGUCGUAUAAGCAUGGGGUUUUGUAUCUAUAAAAACUGUAAAUGAAAUCCUUAUCCCUACCGUGUUCUUUCACAGUAUGCAAGAGAGAUGGAAGAGAGGAAGAGGUCUUUAGAGAGGAGACAGUUGACCAGAACAGGAACAGACAUAGAGCAUUGUAGACCUUUCCAAAGAUCCAAAGAUGCUUUCAGAAACUUGGCUCUUCUCACAGAAGUGGGGCUUUCUGUUACAAGCCUUAGCUGCUCUAAGACCAAAGCUGGCCCUGGACCCCAAUGCUGUAAUGGUGAAAAAUCCUCAAAACCUGUUAACUAGUGGUCCUUCAACUGAAAUAUAAUAACUGGCCAUAAACUUGCAGUGUCACAGAAUAAUGGUGGUCGAACCUCUGGAUAUUGUGUAAUCCACCCUACACGCACUGCUCAGAGCAGGUCAGCAGGUCAGGUUGCUCAGAUCAUGUUUAAAUAACUGCAAGGAUGGAGACUCCACAGCCUCUCUGGGCAAUCUGUGCUAAUGCUUGGUGAUUUUGAGUGCAAGUGCAAGUGAUUUCCUUGCAUCUAGCUGGAAUUUCCGAUGUUGGAGCAUGUCUUUCAUCCUGCCCCUGUGUAUCUCCAAGGAGAGCCUGACUCUGUCGUCUCUGCACACUCCCAUGUGACAGCUGCUGUUUUUACUGUGCAUCUCAAGCAGCACCAGACUGUACUCUGCUUUAGUAGCUACAGCUCAGAGAUAUGCUGACAGAUGUGGAGUGGCAGCUUAUGAAAUACAAUAAUACAAUUGUAAACACUUGUUGGCUCAUAUCAUCACCUCUGCUGUUAUCUCUYACAAGACAAUAAAAGAUAAACCUUUAUCUGAGGUUUGAAUCCAUUGAUUUUUACCCAAUAUGGAUGAAGGACUUCAGAUGGGUUUAUGUGUUUUGCAAACAGAGUAGGUCUGUCUCUGCUCAGAUAGUACUGURGUUUACUAUCUGGAUGGAGUCAUUUGGCUUCUGGCAGAAUCUACAAACUUAAACGAAAAGAAGUUUUAAACCAGUCAAUAGUUAUCUGGCAUUACUCACGUUUUUAAUCUAGGGGGCUUGGUUUUGGUAAUUCAAGAACAGUGCACUUGCAAAAAAAUAUGUGUACGGUAMGGAUUCUCACCAUUUAUCACGUCCAGCUAAUCUUCUAAUUUGUUAGUUUAUGGAAUAUUUGGAUUAAAAAAAGGGGCACAACAAUUUUGUGCUGGUUAGCAAAAGGCUUUGCUGGGCUUUCUGAGGCUCGUGUGGAGCCCUGAAGAAGAGGAAUGAUGUGAUGGCAGCACAGAUAGGUGCAGGCUGAACAACAGGAGGGGUGGUUGGCAGGAAGGGCUGUCCCCACAGCGCUGAUUCAGCACCCAGGCUCUAAUUGUGCAAGAGGAAUGGCACUUUAGAGGUGUUUACAUCCUCUUAUCAGACCUGUCAGUGUAAAUAAUGCCUUUGUCAGCAGUAUUUCUGUGACCAAAAAACCUUUGCAAAUGCACUGUAAGGACUGUCUGGACCUCCUAUAGCAAGGUAAAUCAUGCUGUUUGAGCUCUUGCAAGUCCUUUGGAGAGGGACAGGAAAGAUGUGAUUCUGCCAUGGUCAGAAAGUUCGUUCAUCAUGUUUCAUCUAAUUUCAACCUUCAUGGCUACAUUACCUUCAGAGAACCCAUACUGAUUUAAGAUCCUGUUCAAAAUACCCAAAUACUCUGUGAUAAGAAGUGCUGUGGUUAUGCAUUAUGCCCUUGUAUAUAGGCUAUAAUCAGUUUCAUAAUGUGAAAAAUUUUCCUUGCUG
Molecule: long non-coding RNA, 1841 nt
Organism: Malurus melanocephalus (red-backed fairy wren)
Lineage: Eukaryota; Metazoa; Chordata; Aves; Passeriformes; Maluridae
Exons: 3
Source: RefSeq, a predicted model, not a curated record